RNAcentral lists this ribosomal RNA (429 nucleotides) under uncultured archaeon. RNAcentral describes it as "bacterial SSU rRNA". It matches the Rfam family "Archaeal small subunit ribosomal RNA", at positions 474 to 903 of the family's 1478-position model. The record is from RNAcentral.
CACCAGCCCCUCGAGUGGUGGGGAUGAUUAUUUGGCCUAAAGCGUCCGUAGCCGGCCGGGUAAGUUUCCCGUUAAAUCCAACGUCUCAAGCGUUGGACUGCGGGAAAUACUGCCUGGCUAGAGAGUGGGAGAGGUCAGCGGUAUUCUGGGGGUAGGGGCGAAAUCCUUUGAUCCCCGGAGGACCACCAGUGGCGAAGGCUGCUGACUAGAACACGUCUGACGGUCAGGGACGAAAGCUGGGGUAGCGAACCGGAUUAGAUACCCGGGUAGUCCCAGCCGUAAACGAUGCAUGCUAGGUGUUGGGUUGGCCACGAGCCACCCCAGUGCCGCAGGGGAGCCGUUAAGCAUGCCGCCUGGGAAGUACGAUCGCAAGAUUGAAACUUAAAGGAAUUGGCGGGGGGGCACCACCAGGCGUGAAGCCUGCGGUUU